CGGGGGAGGGAGAGGAGCUGCCGGCCCCGCUGGGGGCGGCGGGAGGGCCCGAGGCUCCGGUUUGAGCAUGGUUGCUGCUGUACUGAAAUGGCUGCGGCCAAAUGAUCUUCCAUUUUUCUUCCCCUAGCUCACAGCAGAGUCCCACUUCAUGAAGGACCUGGGUUUGGACAGUUUGGACCAAGUGGAAAUCAUCAUGGCUAUGGAAGACGAAUUUGGAUUUGAAAUUCCUGAUGGAGAUGCAGAAAAGUUAAUGUGUCCACAAGAGAUUGUAGAUUACAUUGCAGAUAAGAAGGAUGUUUAUGAAUAAAAACAGUUCUUCAAAGCUGAGCGAUGAUGUCUCUACCACCAGGACUGGGCUGGUGUCAGCGGGUAUGAAUAUAAACGCACAUGCUGCACCGUUGCUGCUUUCAUCAGAAAGUUGUACUUGGAUGUUGUAUUUAAAGCUGUCUGAAUAUGUUGUCCUUUAAAAACAAGAAAAAAAAGGAAUAAAUAUGUAAGAAAGACCAU
This 507-nucleotide long non-coding RNA is filed under the name Buteo japonicus. RNAcentral describes it as "lncRNA (ENSBJAG00000004489.1)". Lineage: Eukaryota; Metazoa; Chordata; Aves; Accipitriformes; Accipitridae. The record is from RNAcentral.